UCUGCAGGUUGAUAUUUAAGUCUUUUGUUAAACCUCCGGGCUCAACCCGGAAUCUGCAAAGGAAACUAUCUAUCUUGAGUAUGGUAGGGGUAAAGGGAAUUUCCAGUGGAGCGGUGAAAUGCGUAGAUAUUCGGAGGAACACCAGUGGCGAAGGCGGCUUACUGGUCCAUUACUGACGCUGAGGUGCGAAAGCGUGGGGAGCAAACA
This 207-nucleotide ribosomal RNA is filed under the name uncultured bacterium. RNAcentral's name for it is "partial 16S ribosomal RNA". It matches the Rfam family "Bacterial small subunit ribosomal RNA", at positions 568 to 774 of the family's 1533-position model. The record is from RNAcentral.